UUAUCUAUUAUAGGUUACAGGAUAAAAUUUUUAUAUAAUAACAAUGUACAAUAAAAGCAUAUUAAAAUAUUACUAUGUACAAAUACUAUAUAUAAGUACACGCUGCCAGUACACGAUAUACCAUCCAACGACAGUCGUCUGCUAGGCGUACUUCGUGGAAAACGUUGGUUAGGCUCCUCCCCUUUGGGGGCGGAGCAAGCCAUUCCACGAUCAUUUUCCACGAUAUACCAGUACACGGUACACGGUACGCGUACACGAUAUACCGCGGCCCUAAAUGACACCGUUUAACUGUGAUUUCUCGAAAAACAAGCUGUCAGUGCUACCCAGUGAAAUAACAUGAUAUGAAGCUUCGGAGAAGCUUAAUCUGUACCACAAUGUAAUCCAUUUCAUUCCAGAUACUGUCACGUUCCUGCAAUGUCUCAUAUAUUUAGAUAUCAGCCAUAAUCGUAACGGUCGGAAGGAACGGCUUUUGCUUUAUAGAAAUUGGGAAAACACUCCGAACCACACUCUCAAUUUUUGAUUUCUACCUUUUUCCUACUUUUCGGCCACCAUGCAUAGUAGAACGAAAAAGGUAGAGAAAUGGUAGAAAAUUUAGUUUACUUUUAGCUAGUAGGCGAAUGGAAGAUGACCUACCAUAUGGUAGACAAAUGCGUGUCUACCAUAAAGUAAGAAUUAGCAGACGAAAACGCAAAAUCACAGCAAAAAUGGAGGGGCGAUUCCCAAGUAAAUAUGCACUUUUCAUUGGAAUAUAACAAAACAAAACUUGGGAAGCAAACAAACUUU
Molecule: long non-coding RNA, 783 nt
Organism: Daphnia magna
Lineage: Eukaryota; Metazoa; Arthropoda; Branchiopoda; Diplostraca; Daphniidae
Exons: 3
Source: RefSeq, a predicted model, not a curated record